This is a non-coding RNA of Amylocystis lapponica, 83 nucleotides long. Lineage: Eukaryota; Fungi; Basidiomycota; Agaricomycetes; Polyporales; Postiaceae. The record is from the annotation of a GenBank genome assembly.
GCCGAGAUAGCUCAGCUGGGAGAGCAACAGACUGAAGUGAUCCGGCUUUCUGGAGGUCGCGUGUUCAAUCCACGCUCUUGGCA